RNAcentral lists this ribosomal RNA (614 nucleotides) under Botryosphaeria dothidea. RNAcentral's name for it is "eukaryotic LSU rRNA". It matches the Rfam family "Eukaryotic large subunit ribosomal RNA", at positions 38 to 667 of the family's 3401-position model. Lineage: Eukaryota; Fungi; Ascomycota; Dothideomycetes; Botryosphaeriales; Botryosphaeriaceae. The record is from RNAcentral.
GCAUAUCAAUAAGCGGAGGAAAAGAAACCAACAGGGAUUGCCUUAGUAACGGCGAGUGAAGCGGCAACAGCUCAAAUUUGAAAGCUGGCUCCUUUGGAGUCCGCGUUGUAAUUUGUAGAGGAUGAUUCGGCAAGGGCUCCCGCCUAAGUCUCCUGGAACGGAGCGUCAUAGAGGGUGAGAAUCCCGUAUGCGGUGGGCUGCCUAAGCCAUGUGAAUCUCCUUCGACGAGUCGAGUUGUUUGGGAAUGCAGCUCUAAAUGGGAGGUAAAUUUCUUCUAAAGCUAAAUACCGGCCAGAGACCGAUAGCGCACAAGUAGAGUGAUCGAAAGAUGAAAAGCACUUUGGAAAGAGAGUUAAAAAGUACGUGAAAUUGUUGAAAGGGAAGCGCUUGCAGCCAGACUUGUCCGCAGUUGCUCAGCCGGUCUCCUGACCGGUGUACUCUUCUGCGGCCAGGCCAGCAUCAGUUCGGGCGGUCGGAUAAAGACCUCGGGAAUGUAGCUCCUCUCGGGGAGUGUUAUAGCCCGGGGUGGAAUGCGGCCAGCCUGGACUGAGGAUCUCGCUUCGGCUAGGAUGCUGGCGUAAUGGCUGUAAGCGGCCCGUCUUGAAACACGGACC